UUAGGCUGAAUUUGUACACCUAUUGAUAUUUGCAAUUAUCCAACGUCACUGUCGACGAUUAAAACCCAAAAAUAGUCAAAGCGUGUAUGGAUUUCGAGCAUUCCUCUUUUACUCAGUGGGCCCUUUAAAUGCCUACUGCCCCCACAAAACCUGACGUGUAAGCCACCGAUUCGCAGACAAUUAUCGAACAGAGAGCACACUAUACUGUGUAUACGGGCAACUGGAGAUUACGUCACCUGCGGAUUGUACCCCUUCUGAUCUGACCUGAUCUGAUCUAGUGGCCAGGCUAGCUUGGAUUGUCGACCGUCAGAUAUCUUUUGCUUGGCCACAAUGGUUUGUUACUGAUUACCGAUAACAAAGACUUAACUUCGCUCACCUUUCGUACGGAAAAAUCCUGUCAUCUUCUCACUCUCACUCGCAGUUACGCCUCAUUGUUACCACAACCGCUCCCCACCGUUUAUUUCCGAUCUGACGGCUCCCGACGCAGGAUAGUUGUGUGAGGAGAAAAUCCAUGUGGGUAAGACAAAACGCAGCAUAUACGUGAUACAUAUGUUCCUCGGUGGGAGCGAAAGUGGCGGUAGGCGUUGGAUUUGGAUCUCACGGCUGAGAGAUGAGUUUAGGAGGGGUGGUGAAGGUAUUGGUAUUGGUGCCUUUGGUACUGGUGACAGUCCAAUCAGAAGUAAAGACUGGGAGACUGUGAGGGGUAAGCUUAUAGCUGGGUGACCCACGUGGUCGUAGGGGGAGUAGCCAACAGGAGAAUAACAUCAGACGGCAGGCCCGGUUCAGCUUGUUUUUAGAAAUUCAAGAAAGUUACAUUAUUUCUUAGUGUCCACGUCACACAAUAGGAAUAUAUUCUUUUCCUAUAAGAAAAUGGGAAGCUAUUUGAUCCAAUACGGGUUUCUUUUUUUCUUUCUUUUAUGGCAUGUUUAC
RNAcentral lists this long non-coding RNA (930 nucleotides) under Prunus persica (peach). RNAcentral describes it as "long non-coding RNA (PPER_LNC005740)". The record is from RNAcentral. Lineage: Eukaryota; Viridiplantae; Streptophyta; Magnoliopsida; Rosales; Rosaceae.